RNAcentral lists this ribosomal RNA (1346 nucleotides) under uncultured bacterium. Its description in RNAcentral is "16S ribosomal RNA". It matches the Rfam family "Bacterial small subunit ribosomal RNA", at positions 20 to 1386 of the family's 1533-position model. The record is from RNAcentral.
UGGCUCAGGACGAACGCUGGCGGCGCGCCUAACACAUGCAAGUCGAACGAGAGAGAGGGAGCUUGCUUCCUCAAUCGAGUGGCGAACGGGUGAGUAACGCGUGAGGAACCUGCCUCAAAGAGGGGGACAACAGUUGGAAACGACUGCUAAUACCGCAUAAGCCCACAGGUCGGCAUCGACCAGAGGGAAAAGGAGCAAUCCGCUUUGAGAUGGCCUCGCGUCCGAUUAGCUAGUUGGUGAGGUAAUGGCCCACCAAGGCAACGAUCGGUAGCCGGACUGAGAGGUUGAACGGCCACAUUGGGACUGAGACACGGCCCAGACUCCUACGGGAGGCAGCAGUGGGGAAUAUUGCACAAUGGGGGAAACCCUGAUGCAGCGACGCCGCGUGGAGGAAGAAGGUCUUCGGAUUGUAAACUCCUGUUGUUGAGGAAGAUAAUGACGGUACUCAACAAGGAAGUGACGGCUAACUACGUGCCAGCAGCCGCGGUAAAACGUAGGUCACAAGCGUUGUCCGGAAUUACUGGGUGUAAAGGGAGCGCAGGCGGGAAGACAAGUUGGAAGUGAAAUCUAUGGGCUCAACCCAUAAACUGCUUUCAAAACUGUUUUUCUUGAGUAGUGCAGAGGUAGGCGGAAUUCCCGGUGUAGCGGUGGAAUGCGUAGAUAUCGGGAGGAACACCAGUGGCGAAGGCGGCCUACUGGGCACCAACUGACGCUGAGGCUCGAAAGUGUGGGUAGCAAACAAGAUUAGAUACCCUGGUAGUUCCACCCCGCAAACGAAGAUUACUAGGUGUGGGAGGAUUGACCCCUUCAGUGCCGCAGUUAACACAAUAAAUAAUCCACCUGGGGAGUGCGACCGCAAGGUUGAAACUCAAAGGAAAUGACGGGGGCCCGCACAAGCAGUGGAGUAUGUGGUUUAAUUUGACGCAACGCGAAGAACCUUACCAAGUCUUGACAUCCCUUGACGAACAUAGAAAUAUGUUUUCUUUUCUGAGCAAGGAGACAGGUGGUGCAUGGUUGUCGUCAGCUCGUGUCGUGAGAUGUUGGGUUAAGUCCCGCAACGAGCGCAACCCUUACUGUCAGUUAUUACGCAAGAGGACUCUGGCAGGACUGCCGUUGACAAAACGGAGGAAGGUGGGGAGGACGUCAAAUCAUCAUGCCCCCUAUGACUUGGGCUACACACGUACUACAAUGGCGUUAAACAAAGAGAAGCAAGACCGCGAGGUGGAGCAAAACUCAGAAACAACGUCCCAGUUCGGACUGCAGGCUGCAACUCGCCUGCACGAAGUCGGAAUUGCUAGUAAUCGUGGAUCAGCAUGCCACGGUGAAUACAUUCCCGGGCCUUGCAC